GUUAGGAAUAUUGGACAAUGGGCGCAAGCCUGAUCCAGCCAUGCCGCGUGAGUGAUGAAGGCCUUCGGGUUGUAAAGCUCUUUAGCCGAUGAUUAUAAUGACUGUAGUCGGAAAAUAAGCCCCGGCUAACUUCGUGCCAGCAGCCGCGGUAAUACGAAGGGGGCGAGCGUUAUUCGGAAUCACUGGGCGUAAAGCGUGCGUAGGCGGCUUUGCAAGUUGGGAGUGAAAGCCCAGGGCUCCACCCUGGAAGUACUCUCAAAACUGCAAGGCUCAAAUUCGGGAGAGGAUAGCGGAAUUGGCAGUGUAGCAGUGAAAUGCGUAGAUAUUGACAGGAACACCAGUGGCGUAAGCGGCUAUCUGGACCGAUAUUGACGCUGAGGCACGAAAGCGUGGGGAUCAAACAGGAUUAGAAACCCGUGUAGUCC
RNAcentral lists this ribosomal RNA (425 nucleotides) under uncultured bacterium. RNAcentral's name for it is "bacterial SSU rRNA". It matches the Rfam family "Bacterial small subunit ribosomal RNA", at positions 354 to 796 of the family's 1533-position model. The record is from RNAcentral.